ACGGAAGGCAGCAGUGGGGAAUAUUGCACAAUGGGCGAAAGCCUAAUGCAGCGACGCCGCGUGAGUGAAGAAGUAUCUCGGUAUGUAAAGCUCUAUCAGCAGGGAAGAAAAUGACGGUACCUGACUAAGAAGCCCCGGCUAACUACGUGCCAGCAGCCGCGGUAAUACGUAGGGGGCAAGCGUUAUCCGGAUUUACUGGGUGUAAAGGGAGCGUAGACGGUUUGGCAAGUCUGAAGUGAAAUGCGGGGGCUCAACUCCUGAACUGCUUUGGAAACUGUCGAACUAGAGUGCAGGAGAGGUAAGUGGAAUUCCUAGUGUAGCGGUGAAAUGCGUAGAUAUUAGGAGGAACACCAGUGGCGAAGGCGGCUUACUGGACUGUAACUGACGUUGAGGCUCGAAAGCGUGGGGAGCAAACAGGAUUAGAUACCCUGGUA
RNAcentral lists this ribosomal RNA (434 nucleotides) under uncultured Clostridium sp. RNAcentral's name for it is "partial 16S ribosomal RNA". It matches the Rfam family "Bacterial small subunit ribosomal RNA", at positions 341 to 792 of the family's 1533-position model. RNAcentral also lists the same sequence under 1 other name. The record is from RNAcentral. Lineage: Bacteria; Bacillati; Bacillota; Clostridia; Eubacteriales; Clostridiaceae.